UACGUAGGGUGCAAGCGUUAAUCGGAAUUACUGGGCGUAAAGCGGGCGCAGGCGGUUUUGUAAGUCUGUCGUGAAAUCCCCGGGCUCAACCUGGGAAUUGCGAUGGAGACUGCAAGGCUAGAAUCUGGCAGAGGGGGGUAGAAUUCCACGUGUAGCAGUGAAAUGCGUAGAGAUGUGGAGGAACACCGAUGGCGAAGGCAGCUCCCUGGGUCAAGAUUGACGCUCAUGCACGAAAGCGUGGGGAGCAAACAGG
RNAcentral lists this ribosomal RNA (253 nucleotides) under uncultured bacterium. Its description in RNAcentral is "partial 16S ribosomal RNA". It matches the Rfam family "Bacterial small subunit ribosomal RNA", at positions 524 to 776 of the family's 1533-position model. The record is from RNAcentral.